This 442-nucleotide ribosomal RNA is filed under the name uncultured bacterium. RNAcentral describes it as "partial 16S ribosomal RNA". It matches the Rfam family "Bacterial small subunit ribosomal RNA", at positions 338 to 795 of the family's 1533-position model. The record is from RNAcentral.
CCUACGGGUGGCAGCAGUGGGGAAUAUUGGGCAAUGGGCGCAAGCCUGACCCAGCAACGCCGCGUGAAGGAUGAAUGCUUUCGGGUUGUAAACUUCUUUUUACAGGGGAGUAUAGAGGACGGUACCUGUCGAAUAAGCCACGGCUAACGACGUGCCAGCAGCCGCGGGAAUACGGAGGUGGCAAGCGUUGUCCGGAUUUACUGGGUGUAAAGGGCGUGUAGGCGGGUUGACAAGUCAGAUGUGAAAUCCUGCGGCUUAACCGUAGAACUGCAUUUGAAACUGUUGAUCUUGAGUACUGGAGAGGCAGACGGAAUUCCUAGUGUAGCGGUGAAAUGCGUAGAUAUUAGGAGGAACACCAGUGGCGAAGGCGGCUUGCUGGACAGCAACUGACGGUGAGGCGCGAAAGCGUGGGGAGCAAACAGGAUUAGAUACCCCAGUAGUC